This is a long non-coding RNA of Mus caroli (Ryukyu mouse), 370 nucleotides long. RefSeq lists it as uncharacterized. The record is from RefSeq and is a predicted model, not a curated record. Lineage: Eukaryota; Metazoa; Chordata; Mammalia; Rodentia; Muridae.
UGACCACAGACUUCUUUUUGGACUUGGAUCUCAGUGUCUCUGUGCCCUUGUUUGCUCUCUUUGAUUGAAUCCAACACAAGUGAGGGGGGGGAGGUGAGUCAAGACUCUUCAUUGCAAGGGAGAAGUUUCCAUUCCCACCCUCUAUGUAUUACUUGGUCCAGUAUGAUUCAAAUACUGUGUUUCCCUCUGGAUUUUCCUCUUGGAUGGUUGGACACCGAUUUUGCUUGUCAACUUGAUGGGAUUUGGAGCCACCAUACAAACAAACCUCUGAGCUUUCAUGUGAGGAAUUACCUUGAUUAGAUUAGUUGAGGAGGGAAAACCACGCUAUAUGUGGCUAACACUACUCUGUAGGCUGGGGUCCUCGGCUGAA